Molecule: ribosomal RNA, 487 nt
Filed under: uncultured bacterium
Lineage: Bacteria
Description: bacterial SSU rRNA
Rfam family: Bacterial small subunit ribosomal RNA
Source: RNAcentral
CGGCAGGCUUAAUACAUGCAAGUUGAGGGGCAGCAUGAUAUACGCGAGUAUAUUGAUGGCGACCGGCGGACGGGUGAGUAAUAGGUAGGAGACCUACCUCAUACAGGGGGAUAGCAUAGAGAAAUCUGUGGUAAUACCCCAUGAGGUUAUAUGAAUAGAGGCAUAUAAUCAAAGCAUAAGCGAUUAUGCGGUAUGAGAGGGGCCUACUGACCAUUAGCUAGUUGGCGGGGUAAUGGCCCACCAAGGCGACGAUCCGUAGCUGGUCUGAGAGGAUGAUCAGCCACACUGGAACUGAGACACGGUCCAGACUCCUACGGGAGGCAGCAGUAGGGAAUAUUGGACAAUGGGCGCAAGCCUGAUCCAGCCAUGCCGCGUGAGUGAAGAAGGCCCUCGGGUUGUAAAGCUCUUUUGUCCGGAAAGAAAAGCGCCGGGUUAAUACCCUAGUGUCCUGACGGUACCGGAAGAAUAAGCACCGGCUAACUUCGUG